GUGUGGUUGCUCAGUAGGGAAAUGCUUACAGCUGCCUCUAGAAGCAAGUCCGCUCGCUGCAUGGAGAGGGAAACAUGAGCAUGCAGCAGGACUAGCUGUCACCUCCCGCCCGCCUGCCCAGAGAGGGCCAGAGCGUCAGGGAGGCAAGAUGAUCCACCAACGGUGCCAUCCUACACUUGGAGAGAAUGAAUAAUGGGGAAAGAAAUUGAAGAGAAAGUAACAGGCAAGGAGAUAUUUGCAGGAGGUAUCUCAUGGAGAGGGCGUCUUGGCCUGCUCCCCUCUGGGGCCACUAACUCACACCAGAGCUGACUCAACCAUUCCAGGGGAAGAUUGGUAAGAAGUUUAUUCACCAGACACGUCUAGCUGAAAUGAAUGAAAUCAAACUCAGCAGAAGUCAACACUUAGCAUGGAAGGCAAAGUAGAGACGAAGGGUCACCCGGCUGCUGCACACCGGCCUUUAGCUUUAGCUCAAGUUGUUCUGCUUUAAAGGACAAUGCCAAUCAUCUCAUAAAUAAAUGAAGACAAUGAUUCAACAGUGCUGUCAACUUUGAGAGAAAAGAGAAGCCAUCCCUACACCCAACACUUAAUAUAU
Molecule: small RNA, 592 nt
Filed under: Pan troglodytes (chimpanzee)
Lineage: Eukaryota; Metazoa; Chordata; Mammalia; Primates; Hominidae
Description: processed transcript
Source: RNAcentral